This 1330-nucleotide long non-coding RNA is filed under the name Triticum aestivum (bread wheat). Its description in RNAcentral is "long non-coding RNA (TAES_LNC010599)". Lineage: Eukaryota; Viridiplantae; Streptophyta; Magnoliopsida; Poales; Poaceae. The record is from RNAcentral.
GAUCUCCACCCAAAGCAGGAUUUGGUACAUUUGGUCCCGAAGGAAAUCCCAGAUUAACCAGUGUGGUGUGGUAGAUAGUUGUUUACAUGAACUGACAGAAGUAUACCAAGUAACAAAGUUAGUUAUUUACAGCCAAAGUUCAAUGCCUCCAAACCAAAGCUUAACUCCUAACAGGAAAUGUCUCCAAAUAUUGUGGCCAAACCUUAACUCCUAACAGGAAAUGUCUCCAAAUAUUGUGGCCAAACCUUGGAACCUAAAAAAAUGGAGAGAAAAACGAAAUCAGGAAAUGCAACAGACAGGAAGUCACAUAGGAUAAAACUAUCUCAUUGCACCUGACAUAUACAGUACUGCUAAGAAAUUUCAUUAUCAGUUAUUUUGUAGAUUUUUUAAUAGAAUUAGCUCACUGAUGAGAGCCAACUGAAACUUUGCUGAAAUACAAUUUGAUGUGAUAAACUUUUUUACAAUAGUUAAAGUCGAAUGUGCAUAUAUACUUAAGCAUGUACUGUGUCAAAUAUAUAUCUUCAGAACCGGAGAAUCAGCAUGCAUGUCAUCUGCUAUUUUUCUAAUAAAAAUGUUUCCGUACCAUCCAUCGUCUCAACCUUCUGAAUCCAACUAAUCCAAGCUCGCCAUCGCCAUCAAUGGCACAUCCAGCUCAUGAAAGGAUAAAUAGCAAUAAAACAUUUAUGCACCACUCGUGUGUGUGUGUGUACAUAACAAUGGAAUAGAAAACAAUGAAAAUGUCUCAUUCAUCUGCUUCCUACUGAACCAAAGUGUGCUCCUCCGAGAAACAAUCACCAAAAUAACAUUUAAAAUUAGUAAAGGAUAAUGCUACAAUUUUCAGAUUGUCGGCAGAGAGGUUAGAGCUAUCAUCGUGACAAUGUAUUGCCAGAUAAAUCAACUACUUAAGUGUAAUUAUAUAACUUCUAUUUCAUUACCCCAAAAAAAUAGUAUAGCAAAAAGGCAUGGAUUCAAAAACUUCUCCAAAAUCAUCUACUGGAAAAAUAAAUCAGAAAGACAAUGUCUGUCAUAUAUACACACAGGGGGGUCUAGAAGAAGAAAAAUCGGAUCAUCUGUAGGUGAUAUACCUUUGCAGAAGGACAACCUUAGAGGUACACUAAGUAGACUUCAAAGUGUGUAAACUGAUCUAAUAGGUGAAAGUUUAAUUCAACAAAUAUGGCAAUCACUAACUGCCCUAUAGUCAAGAGAUUGUAUCACUAAGCUGCCCCUUCUAAGCAAUAAUGGUAGCAGUUGCUUGCAGGGUGAGAAAGGUUAACUUUCCGAUAAGCAGACAUUCUUGAUUAUGAUCAAAACAAUAGCCUUGUUAUAUUAC